Pelobates cultripes (western spadefoot toad) is the source of this 175-nucleotide non-coding RNA. Lineage: Eukaryota; Metazoa; Chordata; Amphibia; Anura; Pelobatidae. The record is from the annotation of a GenBank genome assembly.
AACGGAAAACUGGAGAGGAGAAAGAAUCCUGCAGAGCAAGGAUUUGAUGUCUAAUAAAAUUUGAUUAUUAUUUUGUGCAGGUUUUUUAUUAGGUUUAAUACGUAUGAGGAAGUACUGGGGAUGGGGCGGUUUUCCUUGCUCUGCAGGAUUCUUUCUCCUCUCCAGUUUUCAGUUU